This 551-nucleotide ribosomal RNA is filed under the name uncultured Geobacter sp. Its description in RNAcentral is "bacterial SSU rRNA". It matches the Rfam family "Bacterial small subunit ribosomal RNA", at positions 355 to 896 of the family's 1533-position model. The record is from RNAcentral. Lineage: Bacteria; Pseudomonadati; Thermodesulfobacteriota; Desulfuromonadia; Geobacterales; Geobacteraceae.
UGGGGAAUUUUGCGCAAUGGGGGAAACCCUGACGCAGCAACGCCGCGUGGGUGAUGAAGGCCUUCGGGUCGUAAAGCCCUGUCGGGAGGGAAGAAAUGAUUGAGAGCUAAUACCUCUUGGUCUUGACGGUACCUCCGAAGGAAGCACCGGCUAACUCCGUGCCAGCAGCCGCGGUAAUACGGAGGGUGCAAGCGUUGUUCGGAAUUAUUGGGCGUAAAGCGCGUGUAGGCGGUCUUUUAAGUCUGAUGUGAAAGCCCCGGGCUCAACCUGGGAAGUGCAUUGGAAACUGGGAGACUUGAGUACGGGAGAGGAGAGUGGAAUUCCUAGUGUAGGAGUGAAAUCCGUAGAUAUUAGGAGGAACACCGGUGGCGAAGGCGGCUGCCUGGACCGAUAUUGACGCUGAGACGCGAAAGCGUGGGGAGCAAACAGGAUUAGAUACCCUGGUAGUCCACGCCGUAAACGAUGAGUACUAGGUGUUGCGGGUAUUGACCCCUGCAGUGCCGUAGCUAACGCAUUAAGUACUCCGCCUGGGAAGUACGGUCGCAAGACUA